UUUUCCACAUUCAUAGCUGAUGAAAAUUGAGAAAAGGAACAAAACCACCGACGAACCGAUGUGACAGCUAGAACAAACAAAUUCAAAUUUGUUGUCCACGACGCCAUGAUUAAAAAUAGCCGAACACUACCGCCACCUCUAUAACGGUUCGUGUUGGUUUGCUAGCUUGAUUCCAAACCCCCGUGUGUUCAUAUAGGAUGGGGUUCGCAUAUAUGCUGUUUCGACAGAAGGGUUCGCUCGCUUUGCUGGUCGACCAUUAAAUUGAGGAAGGACAGUUUUGAAACACCACUGUCACGUUGGUUCGUCGGUGACAAAACUCCACAACAAGUCACAAGAUUGAGAUUGAAUAGCUGUAAAAUUCGAAGAAUCGAGGAAGACAAAUACUACUGGUUGUAUGAGAAACGAUAUUCCUGGAGUUGUGAUCCCAGGAACGCCAUGCUGUCAUAAAAGAAGAAGAAGAAGAUUUGUAUGCUUUUUAAAACAGAAUUUUCACGAUGUUAUUUUGAGUAGAAAUAUUGUUAUUUUUGUAACAAUUUGGUACUAGAAUAAAAUCAAGGUAAGAAUUUAAAAUCCGCGUGAAACCAAUUCAAAGAAUAGAACCAAGAUGAAAAUAUUAAAUACAGUAACAGCGAUAAGUAAGUUCGACUAGUAAUGCUAUAUACAAAAUGUUAUUGUAAAUUAUAUGUAUAUAAUAAAAAGAAGGGAGAGAAAGUAGGAUUCAGUUAGCAUAUCAUUGAUGUUAUGAAAAUACAUGUCAUUCUUAUCCUAACAGCCGUCCUAGACACUACACUUACAAAACAGCUCAAUAUGAUAUGAUGAUUAUCACGAGCAAACUUUAGAUAUUAUGUUCAGUACUUUUACGUCGUAUAUGGUAGAAGCUGCAGUUUUGGCCAGCCCAUGGCAAUAUCAUCGACAUAGAUUUUAUUAAUGAUAGAUUUUAAUUUUUAUAAUAUGACUACAGCUGUUAAAACCUUCAAAUUUGAUCGAAAAAUGAUAGAAAAAAAAAUCAUUAAGAAACAAGCUCUUAAAAAAAGAAACCAAAGUUGAGAAUAUGGCCAAAACUAACAUUGUGCUUCUAUUUUGGCCAGUAGUAGUGUUACUUUAUAGACUAAAAUAAAGUAUUUGCUUGAUGUCUGCAUUUUUGUACAAAAUAUAGAUUGAAACCUUUAAUAUAAUACAGGGUGCGUGCGAUAUUUUUGCACUAAAUCAUAUCGUAAUCAUAAAAAACGUUUUAAAAAUAAUUCGACAAUAGAUCUAUACUAAAUGAUUUUUUCGCGAACAAUUGUGAUUAUUUCAAUGAUUUAGGAAGAAAAAAGUGGUGCUAAUAUCGAUAACCUUUUUUGAACGAUCCUGAGAACCGCUGCAAGUCCGUUUUAGUGUUGUUCUCUAUAUUUUGGUAAACAAUUGUGUUAUUUUAGGUAAAACUAGAAUAUUUUUUGUACGAGGAGCUCCAAUGGAAUCAUCGUUAUGUGUGGCAUUCAAAAAAUAUCCCAUAAAUUUGAAAAAGAGGUUUCUAGAUGACGAAAAUGCGAACAACUUGAGUAUACGUGUAGUGUCGGUAGCGGUUGUCUCAAUUGGUUAAGAAUAACACUACGGACCACCUGUUCCGGAGGUAAAAGUCCACUAAACAGAGAACCCCAAUCCAAGGUGUCAGGCGACCCGUGUUGAUGGAUGAAUGGUUGAGGGGGUUUAAAAUAUGCUCGAUCUUUAACGGAGCCCGUAACGUAGGUAGAUCGCCUUUAUGUGUUGCGUUACGGUUCAAGAUCUACCAAACCGAACUCUAGUGACAUCCGGUUUGUCAAGUUGGGAUAAUGUGUUUUGGUAAUAAGGAUUCAUGGCACAAAGUCCUUGUUACUGGUGACAGUUUCUUAAAUUGCAUGUAUUCUGCCUUGCUGAUAUUUAAAGAAUCGGACUUUGCCCACCCGAGACUACACUUGAUGUUAUGAAAACAAACAUGCUUUACGUGUCUAAUUGCGUACUAACCUAUCAAGGACUGUUAAGAUCUGGUAAUCCAAAGACUCACGUGCAUUCUUAUUGUAGAACACAUUCUCUAAUUUGACAGAGUUUUGCUACUAGCCUAAAGUCCCGGGGUUUUCUUUGUUGUCCUGGGACUAAACUAGAAGCAAGACAUGGAUGGGGCUAGAAUUCCGAUGCAUGGAUAAAUAUCAGUACCACCGUUUUGUUUUUCUCAGAAUUCAAAUAGACUGUGUUUGGUUAGGGGCGCUCUUUCACUGGGAUUUAAAUCUCUAUGAUAACGGAACCUUUUCAUCGCAAUCGAUUUCUUGCACCUCUGGGAUAACAAAACAGGAACUGUACAGAAAUUGAUGCUUCAUUGCCUCUCAAUGACAAUGGAGUAGUACGACAUGCACUAAAUACUAAGGAUUCAGGCAAUGCCACAAAAGAUCUAAAUACUGGUCGCAGUGGCUCACCCGAACAGGAAAAAAAUGUCGUUCCAUCUUAGAAUUACAAAAAUAAAAAUGGUUUGUGAGUAUCUUAAUAGAAAUUGAGGAGAAAGUGAUAGUUGAAGCUUACGCUGUAUCUUCUGAAUAUCAAAACGGAGAAGCUAUUUCAAUUUCCGUUUGGAAUCAGCAUAGACAACAAUUUUCAUUUUAUUGCGUAUCAAACCUGGCUAUUAAAUGUGUAUCAGACUCAUUGAGACACAAACAUACACAAUUGGCUAUUGCCUAAAAUUUAGUGCAAAUUUCACCAUGCUAGUUAAUAGGUUUCACGAGAUCAUAAUAAGUUGGUCUUCAAAUACUUAUGUUUUCAAAUUUUAUUUGUAUUCUCGGUUAGUGCAAAGUAUUUUAUAUGAGCCAUUUCUCGAAACAACAACAUUGAUGAUGAUAAAGUUCAAUAUCCCUAGGGCAUUAUCUCAUGUCAAACUUUCAUUCACAUUCCUUUUUUAUUUGGCUAGUAAACAGGACUACUGCAGCAUUUCCGAUCGUCCUUUUUGUUGAAACUGUUAUUAUUUCUUUUAAUAGAUCAUUGAAAGUGUAGUGCAUUGAAGCAGCAGAAUACAAUCUACUGAUUCUUGUUUAAAUUGAAAGUGAUAUACAAAAGUAACUGUAUUGUCAUCUACUGUAAUAUUGGUUUGUAUCUUUGACGGUUUUCAUAAAAAAAAAAAUGAUUUAACUUCUGCACGCAUUAUUGUUUCGUUUUUUUCUCUUAAUUAAUUCAAUGAAAAAGGAAUGAUUUGUGAAAUAAUUUCGAAAAAAAAUACUGAAAUAAUUGUGUAUUUUGAAGUCUUGUAUUCCGCCAAACUAUUGACCAAUUACAGUGAAUUUGUAUGUUUUAGAAAGCUAGAAAUUUCGUAAGGUUUGUCGAAAAUAUUUUGGUGACAACACAAUUUUUUUCCAACUUUCCAUUGUAAUCUCUCAAACGUUUACGACGACUUUUAAUUAAUUAAUGACAUUGUUUCAUAUUUGACUGGCAAAUGCUUUUGAAUGAGAAGGAUUCCAAUUCUCAUUUACAAAAUAAAUCAUUGCAAUAUGUUUCAUGUACCUGUCAAAAGAAUUUAACUAUUCAACUCACGACAGCAAAUUCUACAUAUUCACCCUGAUUAUACCCACCACUGCUCGUGAACUUCAGCAUAAUAUAAGAUGGCAAUUGUUUUUUUCAUCGAUUCCAAAACUGUUUGAAUGUUUGUUUCUAGACAUAUGUUUUAGCUAUAGAAUUAUCAUAUUAUUUAUGAAAUCCAUUUCAAAACUUAUAUGUUUACAAAUUAUAAAGAAAUCUUUUCAAAAUUCAAUCUUUUUUUCAAGAUUUGCCUAAGGAACAACGAAAUAAUUGUCUUUAAGCACACUUUUGUUUAACAUGGCAUAUACUAACGUUUACACAAUAAAUUUCAUCCAUUAGUAGUUUCGAAAUUAUUCUCUUCUAUGUUUUUCUUCUAUGAUCAGCCAUACUUUUCUUAUGCCACAGUAUUUUCGUCGGUUUUCCAUAUAUAGUGGAUGGCUGAUUGCUCUUUGUCACUUUCAAUGAAUCAAGGUGCGAACUUAUUUUUUUUUAAUAAUCUUUAUUAGUAUCUCAAUCAAUUUUUACAUUCUUCAACUUAAUCUAGGUGUUCUGUGUAUUAUAACACACUAUCAUCCUAAUUUUGUAAUAGUUAUUUAUGCAACAAGUUGCAAAAUGAUGAUUUUUUCAGCACGAGUUGUACGAGGCUUGCCGAGUUGGAUAAAUACGACGAGUGCUGAAAAAAUCGAGUUUUGCAACGCGUUGCAUACAAAGUUUUUUGUAAUUGCAAAAAUACCCGUAUAGUAUAAUCUCUCUAGCCACACAAACGUGUAUCAGCAGCAGCCACGUGCGAGCCUUUAUGCGCGACAGGACGUAGUGCAUAGUAUUUUCUUUGAUCAGGUAGGCUAUGGUAGGCUAACUGUCGCAAGUUUUCAAGCUAGGUUCAAAAGUAGGCUAGUUUUCAAAAGUAGGUUCAGCUUCUGUUUCUACGCCUGAUUGGCAGUUCAAAUCAGAAUGUGAGUCGUCCUGAUUCGGAUUCGAACUGCUCAGUGCAUGUAGAAGCAGCAACUGUAUCUACGGAAGUAGCGAUACUUAACAAAAAGUGUGUGCUGGCAAAAGUGCCGAAAAGUAGGCCGUUUUAACAUUGUUUCCGCGAGUGAAAAGUAGGGGAAUUCGCAACGCAAUUACAAAAAAUAAAUUUAAGCUAUUAUCAAUACUAAUUAAUGACAUAUUACAUUUCAUUUGCUGUAGCAGUUAAGAUUUUUUGCAGGCUUAACUUUUCACCUGCGUGCCAGAAAUACAUUUUUUUUAACUUAUCCUAACCCUAACCUAACUUAAACUAAUUAUACAAAGAACUAAUCGUAGCAAUAGAAGACUGCAACGAUUUUUGACGAAAGUUUGCAAUGAUUUUAGUUGACAUCUGUUCCAAUGUUUCAAUAUUAUAAAUUUGAUGCAACUCAUUAGUGCUAUACCAGAGAGGCAAUCAUUUUCAAAAUUUUAUUUUGAAUCCUCUGAAGAAGUUGCUUCUUUCUGGUAUUGCAACAGCUUGACCAUAUUGGGACAGCGUACAACAUGGUCGGUCUGAAAAUUUGUUUAUAAAUCAAAAAUUUGUUUUUGGGACAAAGUUUUGAUUUUUUAUUAAUAAGUGGGUAUAAACACUUAAUGUAUUUAUUGAAGUUUGAAUAUUUUCUAUGUGGUUUUUAAAAGUUAAGUUUUUAUCUUGUAAGAGCACUAGAUUCUUAACUUUUUCCGACCAAUUUAUUGGAGUUCCCCUAAUAGUGACAACAUGUCUACUUGAGGGUUUCAAAUAAAGAGCUCUUGGCUUAUGUGGGAAUAUGAUAAGUUGAGUUUUGGAAGCAUUUGGAGAAUUCUUCCAUUUUUGUAAAUAAGAAGAAAAAAUAUCUACUUUGCAAUCUACUACACUUUUUUGCAAUCUACUACAAAUGACACGCAAAUUUAGCCCCUUGGCUGAGAUACCUGUGUCAUCUGCAAAUAACGAUUUUUGACAUCCCUGUGACAAAUCAGGUAAGUCGGAGGUAAAAAUAUUGUAUAAGAUUAGUCCCAGUAUGCUGCCUUGUGGAACACCAGCUCUUACAGGUAAUCUAUCUGACUUGGAAUUUUGAUAGUUUACCUGAAGUGUUCGAUCUGAUAAAUAGUUUUGAAUAAUUUUAAUAAUAAAUAGUGGAAGAUUAAAAUGUUUGAAUUUUACGAUCAAGCUUUCGUGCCAAACACUACCGAAUACUUUUUCUAUGUCAAGAAGUGCUACGCCAGUGGAGUAACCUUCAGAUUCAUUGGAACGAAUGAGAUUCGUUACCCGUAUAAGUUUAUGAGUAGUCAAAUAUCCAUGUCGGAAUCCGAACUGCUCAUUGACAAAAAUGGAUUCAUCAAUAUGAAUCAUCAUUCAAAUUAAAAUACGCUUUUCAAAGAGUUUAAUGAUAGAUGACAGUAAGCUAAUUGGACGAUAAUUAGAAGCUUCAAGGCUUCAAAAUUGGAACAAUUUUAGCAUUUUUCCAUUUUCCAUAUGCUAACUGAAAACAUUUGUUAAAUAUAUUAACUAAAAAUGAUAAGCAACUUUCUGGAAGUUUUUUUUUUAUAAGAAUAUAGAAAAUUCCGUCAUCACCCGGAGCUUUCAUAUUCUUAAACUUCUUUAUAAUAGAUCUCACUUCGUCCAAAUCAGUGCCCAAUGAAUUGUCGAAAAUGUUCUCAUGAUUGAGAAUGUUUUCGAAUUCGCGGGCAACCUGAUGUUCUAUUAGACUAGUGAGACCUAUACUAAAAUUAUGCGCACUUUCAAACUAUUUGGCAAGUUUUUGUGCUUUUUCAGAAUUAGUUAAUAAUAUUUUGUUAUCCUCUUUCAGCGCAGGAAUAGGCUUCUGAGGGUUUUUCAAUUUUUUUGUCAAUUUCCAAAACGGCUUAGAGGCUUAGGGGUUUAAUUGAGAAACUUUAUUUGAAAAAUUAUUGUUUCUCAAUUCGAUGAAACGUUUUUUAUUUCCUUCUGGAGAUCCUGCCAGAUUACUUUCAAAGCAGGAUCUCGAGUUCGUUGAAAGUGUCUUCUUCUCACGUUUUAAAGACAGAUCAGAAGUUUCAGAUCGUCGUCAAUAAUAACUGAGUCGAAUUUGACUUCACACUUUGGUAUUGAUGCGCUUCUAGCUUCGACUAUAGUACUAGUUAAGGGUAUGCGGUAUACCGAAAAGUUUCGCCAAAUGCACCUCGAAACGAAAUUCCGCGGAAUUCUACGGAAUUCAACCAGGCGAAAUUUAUGAUUUUGAAUUUCGUUUCGUUUCGUCAAAUUCUAAAAAUUUCGCCUUCAAAAAGUAUAUUUUGACGAAAUUAAACGGAAUUCCGCGGAAUGUCUAAUAAAUUUCGAAAACAAGUUCAUUGUGUAAAUGCCUUUUUUGAAAGAGGUUAAUUUUUAGUGGAACUCUUGAAAGGGUUUUGCCAUUACAUCUGUAUGACCAGGGCUGGAUGUACGGGUGGGAUGGGGGUGGCCGGGGUUAUUCGGGCUCCGGGCCCCCACAUUUUAGGCCCCCCCUACAAAGACCUUUUUUGAUUAUUACACAUCAACUUUAUGUUUCAUAUUGCUCAAAUACUGUUUGAAAACAAUGAAAUUUUUGUUUGCUCAUCACCAAGGGACCUUCGCAUCCGCUCGGGCCUCGGGCAAACCUUGAUCCGGGCCUGUGUAUGACGAAACGCUAUUCACACGGAACUACAAAUCAACCCAAAUUUAAGUUGUUUUGACGCAAUCCCGGUCUUCCGUGGAAUUACUCAAAUUUGCGUUAAACAGCGAAAGUGGUGAGUGAGUAGCUCUCGUUUGAGAGCGGCAAAAAAAUUAACCCAAUGGUAAGUUAUUUUCACCCAACGGAGGCCU
Molecule: long non-coding RNA, 7318 nt
Organism: Aedes albopictus (Asian tiger mosquito)
Lineage: Eukaryota; Metazoa; Arthropoda; Insecta; Diptera; Culicidae
Exons: 3
Source: RefSeq, a predicted model, not a curated record